RNAcentral lists this ribosomal RNA (484 nucleotides) under uncultured bacterium. RNAcentral describes it as "partial 16S ribosomal RNA". It matches the Rfam family "Bacterial small subunit ribosomal RNA", at positions 30 to 507 of the family's 1533-position model. The record is from RNAcentral.
AUUGAACGCUGGCGGCAGGCCUGACACAUGCAAGUCGAGCGGAUGAAGGGAGCUUGCUCCUGGAUUCAGCGGCGGACGGGUGAGUAAUGCCUAGGAAUCUGCCUGGUAGUGGGGGAUAACGUCCGGAAACGGGCGCUAAUACCGCAUACGUCCUGAGGGAGAAAGUGGGGGAUCUUCGGACCUCACGCUAUCAGAUGAGCCUAGGUCGGAUUAGCUAGUUGGUGGGGUAAAGGCCUACCAAGGCGACGAUCCGUAACUGGUCUGAGGGGAUGAUCAGUCACACUGGAACUGAGACACGGUCCAGACUCCUACGGGAGGCAGCAGUGGGGAAUAUUGGACAAUGGGCGAAAGCCUGAUCCAGCCAUGCCGCGUGUGUGAAGAAGGUCUUCGGAUUGUAAAGCACUUUAAGUUGGGAGGAAGGGCAGUAAGUUAAUACCUUGCUGUUUUGACGUUACCAACAGAAUAAGCACCGGCUAACUUCGUG